UACGGAAGGCAGCAGUAGGGAAUCUUCCGCAAUGGACGAAAGUCUGACGGAGCAACGCCGCGUGAACGAUGAAGGCUUUCGGGUCGUAAAGUUCUGUUGUUAGGGAAGAACAAGUACCAGAGUAACUGCUGGUACCUUGACGGUACCUAACCAGAAAGCCACGGCUAACUACGUGCCAGCAGCCGCGGUAAUACGUAGGUGGCAAGCGUUGUCCGGAAUUAUUGGGCGUAAAGCGCGCGCAGGUGGUCCUUUUAAGUCUGAUGUGAAAGCCCACGGCUCAACCGUGAGGGUCAUUGGAAACUGGGGACUUGAGUGCAGAAGAGGAAAGUGGAAUUCCACGUGUAGCGGUGAAAUGCGUAGAGAUGUGGAGGAACACCAGUGGCGAAGGCGACUUUUCUGGUCUGUAACUGACACUGAGGCGCGAAAGCGUGGGGAGCGAACAGGGAUUAGGAUACCCGU
RNAcentral lists this ribosomal RNA (459 nucleotides) under uncultured bacterium. Its description in RNAcentral is "bacterial SSU rRNA". It matches the Rfam family "Bacterial small subunit ribosomal RNA", at positions 340 to 790 of the family's 1533-position model. The record is from RNAcentral.